UAAGAAUUCAGAAUAAAGGUGUCAAUUC
This 28-nucleotide non-coding RNA is filed under the name Mus musculus (house mouse). The record is from RNAcentral. Lineage: Eukaryota; Metazoa; Chordata; Mammalia; Rodentia; Muridae.